CCUGAUGCAGCACGCCGCGUGAGUGAUGAAGGUUUUCGGAUCGUAAAGCUCUGUCUUUGGGGAAGAUAAUGACGGUACCCAAGGAGGAAGCCACGGCUAACUACGUGCCAGCAGCCGCGGUAAUACGUAGGUGGCGAGCGUUAUCCGGAUUUACUGGGCGUAAAGGGAGCGUAGGCGGAUGAUUAAGUGGGAUGUGAAAUACCCGGGCUCAACUUGGGUGCUGCAUUCCAAACUGGUUAUCUAGAGUGCAGGAGAGGAGAGUGGAAUUCCUAGUGUAGCGGUGAAAUGCGUAGAGAUUAGGAAGAACACCAGUGGCGAAGGCGACUCUCUGGACUGUAACUGACGCUGAGGCUCGAAAGCGUGGGGAGCAAACAGGAUUAGAUACC
This 386-nucleotide ribosomal RNA is filed under the name Clostridium perfringens. Its description in RNAcentral is "bacterial SSU rRNA". It matches the Rfam family "Bacterial small subunit ribosomal RNA", at positions 382 to 786 of the family's 1533-position model. Lineage: Bacteria; Bacillati; Bacillota; Clostridia; Eubacteriales; Clostridiaceae. The record is from RNAcentral.